RNAcentral lists this ribosomal RNA (309 nucleotides) under uncultured bacterium. RNAcentral describes it as "bacterial SSU rRNA". It matches the Rfam family "Bacterial small subunit ribosomal RNA", at positions 28 to 334 of the family's 1533-position model. The record is from RNAcentral.
GAUGAACGCUAGCGGCAGGCUUAACACAUGCAAGUCGAGGGGUACCAGAGGUAGCUUGCUACUUGCUGACGACCGGCGCACGGGUGCGUAACGCGUAUAGAAUCUGCCUCAUACUGAGGGAUAGCCUUUGGAAACGAAGAUUAAUACCUCAUAGUAUCAUUUAACGGCAUCGUAUUAUAAUUAAAGGUUACGGCAAAAGAUGAGUAUGCGUCCUAUUAGCUAGAUGGUAAGGUAACGGCUUACCAUGGCAACGAUAGGUAGGGGUCCUGAGAGGGAGAUCCCCCACACUGGUACUGAGACACGGACCAG